UGCACUAAUGCAGCAUAUGGAGGAUUUCUAUUACAUUUCCCUGCUAGAGAAUGUCCGGUUGAACUGUCAAACUGUUAACGGGUCAAAACCAGUUGAAGACCAAGAGUUAUCUAUUUAAUAAGGAUGUCCAAAUUUACCCAAAUAAGAUGCAUAAAUCUGCCUUUCUCGAUUCUUGUAUAUGGCUAUCAUAUCAUAAAUGUGCAGUUUCUUCUACCAAAUAUUCAACUUCCAGGUUUUAGCUUUCAUCUAUAAGGAAAGCAAAAUAUUAGAAAGCCUUCCUUCGGACCACUUAAAAAGUGCUCGUCGUACUUACAGAAGUUUCUCAAUUGAGUCCAAUAAGACGUCAAAUUAGAAUCAGCUUUUGAUCGCUUGAGUAGGUACAAUGUUAAGUUGGUUGAUAGAUUCCAUGUUGGGAUUUUUUGUGUUGAACCUUGUAAAUUACUUGUAUUGCUAACACCACAUUGCUCGAGUUUGUCAAAGGUCAGAUGAUUACAUUUGAUAUCAAAGUGAGACAAUGGAUAGAAGCAUGUAAAAUUUGAUACAGCUGAUAUCGCUGGAUUAUGUAAAAGGACAUUUUGAAACCAAGAGCAUGUUUGUUACGCACCA
Molecule: long non-coding RNA, 606 nt
Organism: Olea europaea var. sylvestris
Lineage: Eukaryota; Viridiplantae; Streptophyta; Magnoliopsida; Lamiales; Oleaceae
Exons: 3
Source: RefSeq, a predicted model, not a curated record